AGGAGGAUCGGUCCCAUCCGCCUCCGCCUCGUGCAGAGAGUAGCCGCUGGCCUCAGGCCUCGUGCAGAGCCAGACUCCAGAGGCUUCCAUUCAUUGUUAGGGUAAUUUUACCACCAUUAUAAUACCUCUUUUCCUCCCCAUUAUCUCCCGCCGACUUCACUCGACCGAGAGGGCGCCAACGUGGGGAAGAAGAGCGAGAAGGAGGAGAACUCCCGGCCGACGGACCCUGAAACGGAGGAGAAGAAGAGGUUAAGAUACCUCGCGUUCUCGAAGAAGCUCCUCCGCCACGCUCCCUUAAAGCCCUCCUCUCCUCUGGAGCCCUCCAAGUCCGUCCUUAAGCUCCAGGGCCGCGACGUGGUUAAGUGGGGCCAGCGGAAGAGCCGCUACCUCUUCUCCGGCGGCCGCGUCGGCGAGCUCGGCGAGCUCGGUACCAAGAACCCCAUCCUCUACGUCGAGUUCCCCCAGGGUCGGAUGAAGUUGUUCGGCACGCAUGUGUACGCCAAGAACAAGUAUUUGACUCUCCAGCUCACGAAAUCGUCCAAGGGUGUGGUCUGCGAGGACACAUUCGACAGUUUGGAUAGUGUCUGAUGUAAUUCCUUUUCCUUUUCUUGGGUUUUCUUCUUUUUCCUUACUUGAAAAAAGAUGUAUGUAUUUUAUUGUUGGAGCAUUGUAGACGGAAAGUAAAUGCAGAAUUUAAGUCGGUAGUUGAUUAUAAAUAGAAGAAGAACGAAAUAAUA
This is a long non-coding RNA of Elaeis guineensis (African oil palm), 737 nucleotides long. RefSeq lists it as uncharacterized. The record is from RefSeq and is a predicted model, not a curated record. Lineage: Eukaryota; Viridiplantae; Streptophyta; Magnoliopsida; Arecales; Arecaceae.